Long non-coding RNA from Camponotus floridanus (Florida carpenter ant), 261 nucleotides. RefSeq lists it as uncharacterized. The transcript is spliced from 3 exons. The record is from RefSeq and is a predicted model, not a curated record. Lineage: Eukaryota; Metazoa; Arthropoda; Insecta; Hymenoptera; Formicidae.
AAAAUGAUAGUGCACCAUCGAUUAUAUUUUUAAAAGAUUUUUCCGAUAAAGAUUAUAUUUAUUAUUUUCUUUUUACUAUCGCGAAGCAUGCAAGGAAUCCUGUAGUACUCGACUUCAUAUUAGAAGAACUUGAGAACAUAAGACCUAGACAAAUCAGCGAGUAUGCAACAUUAACUGUAAUUAUUAAUCAUGUGUAUUCCACAAAUCAACUCAAAAAGAUAAACAACUUCUUCACAAAUAAAUUUUUUAAUGAAACGCAAG